Molecule: long non-coding RNA, 459 nt
Filed under: Fukomys damarensis (Damara mole-rat)
Lineage: Eukaryota; Metazoa; Chordata; Mammalia; Rodentia; Bathyergidae
Description: lncRNA (ENSFDAG00000025411.1)
Source: RNAcentral
AUGGGGAGCUCCAGAGGUGCUCACCUGGGCGACACCCAGGCCCCGGGGUGCCGCUGCCUCCACACCAGCUCUGCGGCCUCUGCUACCAUGCUGGGGACGCAAGGUUCCAGCCUCUUUAAACAUCUGAAAGGCGGAACAGAAAGCACAGCUUUGGUGAGCCAGAGAGCCAGCACACACAAGGAUUCAGCACCCUCGACUGCUCUGCCACGGCCGACUCUCACCGGGCCGUGCUGGGAAGGAAGGGCAGAGGAGGCUAGGGACGCGCCGGGGCCGAGCAGGAAUCGUCUUUCUGUCCCAUGAAAAACAAUCCUCCAGCUGGCAUGGUAUUUAACGCCCCUAAUCCUAGUCACUCAGGAGGCUGAAGCAGGAAGAUCCCAAGUUUAAGGAUAGCUUGGGAAACUUAGUGAAACCCUAUCUUAAAAUGAAAAAAGGGCUGUGGAUGGAGCUCAAGGCAAGGCC